GGAAAAGGAGAACCCCAUUCCUCCCUAAGACU
RNAcentral lists this transfer RNA (32 nucleotides) under Delphinus delphis (saddleback dolphin). Its description in RNAcentral is "partial tRNA-Thr". Lineage: Eukaryota; Metazoa; Chordata; Mammalia; Artiodactyla; Delphinidae. The record is from RNAcentral. RNAcentral also lists the same sequence under 2 other names.